AUGAAAGCAGAGAGACCACAGCAAGGCAGGGAAUUCCCCAACAGCAGAAUCCUGGCGCACAGGUCAUGUGGAAAGGCACUACAGGACAGUAAGUCACAUCUCCUGGGCCAAGCAGUUGGAUCCACAAGGGUACAUGUGCAGCCUCUAUGGAUACAGCCAUCCAGAAGGCUGAAUUUGUGUGCCAAAGAAACAGGCAGCCCAAGAGUGUGGAACUCUGCAAACAACCGUGAAAACCCCUACUUACUGAUAGGAGUUUCUAUCCAUAGGGAUCAAUGCUGUGCUAUUCAGGCUUAGAGAGACAUCCGCCAGUUCAACAUAGCCAUCCUGGCCACGGAUGGAAUUGUAUCAGGUUAGUGACAAGACCAGCAACCUUUCUGCUCUAAAAGAACAGGAGUACUUGUGGCACCUUAGAGAUUAACAAAUUUAUUAGAGCAUAAGCUUUCGUGGACUACAGCCCAUCUGAAGAAGUGUUCUUUUUGCGGAUACAGACUAACACGGCUGCUACUCUGAAACCUUUCUGCUCUAGUCACAUUGCAUUCUUUCACUGUGGUCCUCGGUAUCCAGGAUGGCUGAUCUAUGGGAAAUGAGUCUGAUCUAGUUCCUAGCACGCAGAACACAUUCAUAAUUGAUAAUCUUGGCAUUUGCAGCAGGAGACAUGACUUGAGAGAGUUCAGACUGCUCUGCCCCUCCAAGUGAAGCUCCAGGCAGCGCGCCUGGGGCAGCACGGUAAAGCUAGCGCUGCCUCCAGCAGUCCUGUUUCAGUCACGAGGUCACUGGGACUCCUUUGCUGCCAGUCUGGCAUCUUUCAAGCCUCAGCUUUACUUAAACUCAAACCCUCAGCUAGUAUCAGCUUUUUUCUUUUUGAAUCACUCUAUUUCUACCUGCUUCAGCGCCACCUCAUGAGAGUGACGAUUCUGGGAAAUAAAAUGCAAAGCAACCUAAAUAAUUGUUCUCGU
This 956-nucleotide long non-coding RNA is filed under the name Chrysemys picta bellii (western painted turtle). RNAcentral describes it as "lncRNA (ENSCPBG00000003904.1)". The record is from RNAcentral. Lineage: Eukaryota; Metazoa; Chordata; Testudines; Emydidae.